CUAAUACAUGCAUGUUGAACGGGAUGUAGCAAUACAUUCAGUAGCGAAUGGGUGAGUAACACGUACCUAACCUACCUUUAAGACUGGGAUAACUAUUGGAAACAAUAGCUAAUACCGGAUAUAGUUAUUUAUCGCAUGAUGAGUAAUAGAAAGGAGCUUCACAGCUUCACUUAAAAAUGGGGGUGCGGAACAUUAGUUAGUUGGUAGGGUAAUGGCCUACCAAGACGAUGAUGUUUAGCCGGGCCGAGAGGCUGUACGGCCACACUGGGACUGAGAUACGGCCCAGACUCCUACGGGAGGCAGCAGUAAGGAAUUUUCCACAAUGAGCGAAAGCUUGAUGGAGCGACACAGCGUGCAGGAUGAAGUUCUUCGGAAUGUAAACUGCUGUUAUAAGGGAAGAAAAAAUAGAAUAGGAAAUGAUUUUAUCUUGACGGUACCUUAUUAGAAAGCGACGGCAAACUAUGUGCCAGCAGCCGCGGUAAUACAUAGGUCGCAAGCGUUAUCCGGAAUUAUUGGGCGUAAAGCGUCCGUAGGUUUUUUGCUAAGUCUGGAGUUAAAUGCUGAAGCUCAACUUCAGUCCGCUUUGGAUACUGGCAAAAUAGAAUUAUAAAGAGGUUAGCGGAAUUCCUAGUGAAGCGGUGGAAUGCGUAGAUAUUAGGAAGAACACCAAUAGGCGAAGGCAGCUAACUGGUUAUAUAUUGACACUAAGGGACGAAAGCGUGGGGAGCAAACCAGGAUUAGAUACCCUGGUAGUCCACGCCGUAAACGAUGAUCAUUAGUUGGUGGAAUAAUUUCACUAACGCAGCUAACGCGUUAAAUGAUCCGCCUGAGUAGUAUGCUCGCAAGAGUGAAACUUAAAGGAAUUGACGGGAACCCGCACAAGCGGUGGAGCAUGUGGUUUAAUUUGAAGAUACGCGUAGAACCUUACCCACUCUUGACAUCUUCUGCAAAGCUAUAGAGAUAUAGUGGAGGUUAACAGAAUGACAGAUGGUGCAUGGUUGUCGUCAGCUCGUGUCGUGAGAUGUUAGGUUAAGUCCUGCAACGAGCGCAACCCUUUUCUUUAGUUACUAAUAUUAAGUUAAGGACUCUAGAGAUACUGCCUGGGUAACCAGGAGGAAGGUGGGGACGACGUCAAAUCAUCAUGCCUCUUACGAGUGGGGCAACACACGUGCUACAAUGGUCGGUACAAAGAGAAGCAAUAUGGUGACAUGGAGCAAAUCUCAAAAAACCGAUCUCAGUUCGGAUUGAAGUCUGCAACUCGACUUCAUGAAGUCGGAAUCGCUAGUAAUCGUAGAUCAGCUACGCUACGGUGAAUACGUUCUCGGGUUUUGUACACACCGCCCGUCACACCAUGGGAGUUGGUAAUGCCCAAAGUCGGUGAG
This 1382-nucleotide ribosomal RNA is filed under the name Mesomycoplasma hyorhinis. Its description in RNAcentral is "Mycoplasma hyorhinis 16S ribosomal RNA". It matches the Rfam family "Bacterial small subunit ribosomal RNA". Lineage: Bacteria; Bacillati; Mycoplasmatota; Mycoplasmoidales; Metamycoplasmataceae. The record is from RNAcentral.